GAUGAAGAACGUAGCGAAAUGCGAUACGUAGUGUGAAUUGCAGAAUUCAGUGAAUCAUCGAAUCUUUGAACGCACAUUGCACCUCUCGGUAUUCCGGGAGGUAUGCCUGUUCGAGCGUCAUUUGUACCCUCAAGCUCUGCUUGGUGUUGGGUGUUUGUUCCGCCUCUGUGUGUGAACUCGCCUCAAAACAAUUGGCAGCCGGCGUACUUGUUUCGGAGCGCAGCACAUUUUGCGAUCCAGAUCAACGUACAGCGGCAUCCAAGAAGCCUUAUUUAACGCUCUUGACCUCGGAUCAGGUAGGGAUACCCGCUGAACUUAAGCAUAUCAAUAAGCGGAAGGA
Molecule: unclassified non-coding RNA, 340 nt
Filed under: soil metagenome
Description: partial contains 5.8S ribosomal RNA, internal transcribed spacer 2, and large subunit ribosomal RNA
Rfam family: 5.8S ribosomal RNA (bases 1-120)
Source: RNAcentral